GAGAUAUGAUGAGCAACAUUGGUCCGUGUUUCUGAAUUAACCGUGACUGAAACUUCCAUAUUAGCACACUCUGAUCUC
Molecule: non-coding RNA, 78 nt
Organism: Cucumis sativus (cucumber)
Lineage: Eukaryota; Viridiplantae; Streptophyta; Magnoliopsida; Cucurbitales; Cucurbitaceae
Source: Rfam